AUUGAACGCUGGCGGCAUGCUUUACACAUGCAAGUCGAACGGUAACGCGGGGCAACCUGGCGACGAGUGGCGAACGGGUGAGUAAUGCAUCGGAACGUGCCCGGUAGUGGGGGAUAACUGCUCGAAAGAGCAGCUAAUACCGCAUACGACCUGAGGGAGAAAGGGGGGGAUCGCAAGACCUCUCGCUAUUGGAGCGGCCGAUGUCGGAUUAGCUAGUUGGUGGGGUAAGGGCCCACCGAGGCGACGAGCCGUAGCUGGUCUGAGAGGACGACCAGCCACACUGGGACUGAGACACGGCCCAGACUCCUACGGGAGGCAGCAGUGGGGAAUUUUGGACAAUGGACGCAAGUCUGAUCCAGCCAUGCCGCGUGCGGGAAGAAGGCCUUCGGGUUGUAAACCGCUUUUGUCAGAGAAGAAAUCUUCUGGGUUAAUACCUCGGGAGGAUGACGGUAUCUGAAGAAUAAGCACCGGCUAACUACGUGCCAGCAGCCGCCGUAA
Molecule: ribosomal RNA, 498 nt
Filed under: uncultured bacterium
Lineage: Bacteria
Description: partial 16S ribosomal RNA
Rfam family: Bacterial small subunit ribosomal RNA
Source: RNAcentral